CUAACAAGGAUUCCCUUAGUAACUGCGAGUGAAGAGGGAAAAGCUCAAAUUUAAAAUCUGGCAGUGUUUCACUGUCCGAGUUGUAACCUAGAGAAGUGUAACCUGCGCUGGACCGUGUAUAAGUCUCCUGGAAUGGAGCGUCACAGAGGGUGAGAAUCCCGUCUUUGACACGGACUACCAGUGCAUUGUGGUUGUGCUCUCAACGAGUCGAGUUGUUUGGGAAUGCAGCUCUAAAUGGGUGGUAAAUUCCAUCUAAAGCUAAAUAUUGGCGAGAGACCGAUAGCGAACAAGUACCGUGAGGGAAAGAUGAAAAGAACUUUGGAAAGAGAGUUAAACAGUAUGUGAAAUUGUUGAAAGGGAAACGUUUGAAGUCAGUCGCGUUGGUUGGGGAUCAGCCUGACAUUUGUUGGGUGUACUUCCUGGUUGACGGGCCAACAUCAGUUUUGACUGCCAGAAAAAGGCCAGAGGAAUGUGGCACCUUUGGGUGUGUUAUAGCCCUUGGUCGUAUAUGGUGGUUGGGACUGAGGAAAGCAGCGUGCCGAAAGGCCGGGUUUCGACCACGUUCACGCUGAGGAUGUUGGCAUAAUGGCUUUAAGCGACCCGUCUUGAAACACGGACCAAGGAGUCUAACAUGCAUGCGAGUGUUUGGGUGGAAAACCCUUACGCGUAAUGAAAGUGAAAGUUGAGAUCCCUGUCGCGGGGAGCAUCGACGCCCGGACCAGAACUUUUGGGACGGAUCUGCGGUAGAGCACGUAUGUUGGGACCCGAAAGAUGGUGAACUAUGCCUGAAUAGGGUGAAGCCAGAGGAAACUCUGGUGGAGGCUCGUAGCGAUUCUGACGUGCAAAUCGAUCGUCAAAUUUGGGUAUAGGGGCGAAAGACUAAUCG
RNAcentral lists this ribosomal RNA (886 nucleotides) under Amanita flavoconia. Its description in RNAcentral is "eukaryotic LSU rRNA". It matches the Rfam family "Eukaryotic large subunit ribosomal RNA", at positions 65 to 937 of the family's 3401-position model. Lineage: Eukaryota; Fungi; Basidiomycota; Agaricomycetes; Agaricales; Amanitaceae. The record is from RNAcentral.